GGAAGGGCCAUAGGUGCAGUGGUAGAAGCUCUGCCUUGCAUGCAGAACGCCCCAGGUUCGAAACCCCGGUGUCUCCA
Non-coding RNA from Podarcis lilfordi (Lilford's wall lizard), 77 nucleotides. The record is from the annotation of a GenBank genome assembly. Lineage: Eukaryota; Metazoa; Chordata; Lepidosauria; Squamata; Lacertidae.